Molecule: ribosomal RNA, 309 nt
Filed under: Triticum aestivum (bread wheat)
Lineage: Eukaryota; Viridiplantae; Streptophyta; Magnoliopsida; Poales; Poaceae
Description: partial small subunit ribosomal RNA
Source: RNAcentral
AUGCCGACCCCAUCUGACCUUUCAUUGAAUUCACUCCAAGGCCGGUGGGAUGUGAUCAAAACACAUUGUGGCUGUUGGAGUGGUUUCUUGGAGAAAGUUAGGAACGCACCUCCAAGUGAUUGCACAAUUGACGACUAUGAUUGCAUUGUCUGUGAAAGAUUCAAGCAAAUUGCGGUUUCCAAAUGCAAACCAUUUUUGCUCCAACAUUGUUGGAACUUGCUUCCAGAAAAUGAGAAAUGGAGGUUGAGGGAUCAAGAAGCUCUACCAAAGAAAGGUGCACCCGUUAACUUGGAAGAAGAUGAUGCAUGA